ACGGAGGGUGCAAGCGUUGUUCGGAAUUAUUGGGCGUAAAGGGCGCGUAGGCGGCAGUGUAAGUCAGAUGUGAAAUACUCCGGCUUAACCAGAGAACAGCAUCUGAAACUGCGCAGCUAGAGUACAGAAGAGGGAAACGGAAUUCCCGGUGGAGGGGUUAAAUUCUUAGGUAUCCGGAGGAACACCAGUUGCGGAGGCGGUUUCCUGGUCUGAUACUUACGGUAGAGCGCGAAAGCGUUGGGAGCAAACAG
Molecule: ribosomal RNA, 251 nt
Filed under: uncultured prokaryote
Description: partial 16S rRNA
Rfam family: Bacterial small subunit ribosomal RNA
Source: RNAcentral